AUCUAGCUGACGAGUCCUAAAUAGGACGAAAUAGAGCCUUGGAU
RNAcentral lists this non-coding RNA (44 nucleotides) under Schistosoma margrebowiei. Lineage: Eukaryota; Metazoa; Platyhelminthes; Trematoda; Strigeidida; Schistosomatidae. The record is from RNAcentral.